This 490-nucleotide ribosomal RNA is filed under the name uncultured bacterium. Its description in RNAcentral is "partial 16S ribosomal RNA". It matches the Rfam family "Bacterial small subunit ribosomal RNA", at positions 28 to 507 of the family's 1533-position model. The record is from RNAcentral.
GAUGAACGCUAGCUACAUGCUUAACACAUGCAAGUCGAGGGACAACAUGGGCUUAUCUUUCUUAUGCCGAUGGCGACCGGCGCACGGGUGAGUAACACGUAUCCAACCUGCCGUCUACUCUUGGACAGCCUUCUGAAAGGAUGAUUAAUACAAGAUUGCAUCAUGAGUCCGCAUGUUCACAUAAUUAAAGCUAUUCCGGUAUACGAUGGGGAUGCGUUCCAUUAGAUAGUAGGCGGGGUAACGGCCCACCUAAUCUUCGAUGUAUAGGGGUGCUGAGAGGAAGGCGCACUACAUCUGAAACGCGAUACGGUCUAAGCUCCUACGCGAGGCAGGAGUGAGGAAUAUUGGUCACUGGGGGCAGGCCUGACAAAGCCACGUAGGGUGAAGAAGGACUGCGAUCUGGGUUGUAAACUUCUUUUAAAAAGGAAUAAAGUCGGGUACGUAUCCCCGUUUGACUGUACUUUAUGAAUAAGGAACGGCUAACUCCGUG